RNAcentral lists this long non-coding RNA (666 nucleotides) under Mus spicilegus (steppe mouse). Its description in RNAcentral is "lncRNA (ENSMSIG00000031508.1)". The record is from RNAcentral. Lineage: Eukaryota; Metazoa; Chordata; Mammalia; Rodentia; Muridae.
CUCUGACAGUUGUUGGCCGCGCCCGCGUGGGGUGGGCGGUGUCAAGUCGCCCACAUGAGCCAGGGACUUAAUAGCCACGGUGGCCAUGGUGGGGACUUGGACAUAGCUGACUGUACUCCACCGAAGAAGAAGGGGCAGAAAUCACAUCCCGGAAGGGUGGAAAGACUGUCUCCAGUGGACAGCAGAUGCCCAAGGCUCAUUUUGCUGUUUUCAAAGUUUCUUUGUAAAAGCAGAAAGUUCACAAUAAACAAGACAAAGCACUUUUUAAAGAUGGAACAAGAGAAGUCUCACCUCGCUGUUGAAGGUGACAGCUUCUGACAUGCUGCCUGCCUGUGCUCCUCUGCUAUGCAUCUCAUAACCAAGAGUCUGCAAGACGACUCAGCGGCCAAAGGCACUUGCUGUUCAAGCUUGACCCCAGUUCAACUCCUAGAGAGUCAGCUUCACAAAGCUGUCUUUUGCUUCUACAAGCACAGCAACACACCCAAGAGUAAAUGUGUUGUUCACUUAAUUAUGUUACCUUUCUUUCAAAGUUCUCAAUUUCUUAAGAAACUGCCCCCUCAUCCCCAGGAAACCAGCUGUCAUCACACAGCUUCUCUCUUUUAGAGACAUGUUUCUCCCAUCCAUUUGUCGAACCCAAGCUUCCAUCCAUUGUAAGCUCAAGCCUGG